CUUGACUUCCUGCUGAACAGCGCUCGCCUUGUUAUCACGCUCCUGUAAACACUGACUUUCAACUGUGACCAAAGUAACUUUAUCAUAUGGAAGAGAGACAAGAGUAAGGACGGGGCGCCAGGAGAAAUGAUCACCAGCAGCCCCUGCUUUAAAAAUUGUGCUUCCGAAAUCUCUUGAUGGCGAUUCCGCAAGAAGGGUGGUUUAUCCCCACCCCUCCUGUGCCAAACAUAGCAGAAGCCCUUUUUAACGAUGACUCUGAACAUCCCACCUCCUGACCGGUGGCAACAUGUUCCUCACUCAGAGGUUUGGGAGCUGUGAAAGUGCCUCUGUGUUUGCGUCUUCUACUGUGCGUGGCAUAGUGCAAAUGAUAAUAAAUAUACGUCAACAAGCA
Molecule: long non-coding RNA, 391 nt
Organism: Micropterus salmoides (largemouth bass)
Lineage: Eukaryota; Metazoa; Chordata; Actinopteri; Centrarchiformes; Centrarchidae
Exons: 2
Source: RefSeq, a predicted model, not a curated record